Molecule: ribosomal RNA, 493 nt
Filed under: uncultured bacterium
Lineage: Bacteria
Description: partial 16S ribosomal RNA
Rfam family: Bacterial small subunit ribosomal RNA
Source: RNAcentral
GACGAACGCUGGCGGCGUGCCUAACACAUGCAAGUUGAGCGACGAACCAGGGCUUGCCCUGGGGCAAAGCAGCGAACGGGUGAGUAACACGUGGGUAACCUACCCCGAUAACCGGGACAACCCGAGGAAACUCGGGCUAAUACCGGAUGUGCUCACUGGACUUCGGUUCAGUGCGUAAAGGAAGCUUCGGCCUCCGUAUCGGGAGGGGCCCGCGGCCCAUUGGUUUGUUGGUGAGGUAACGGCUCACCAAGACCGCGAUGGGUAGCUGGUCUGAGAGGACGAUCAGCCACACUGGGACUGAGACACGGCCCAGACUCCUGCGGGAGGCAGCAGUGGGGAAUCUUGCGCAAAGCGCGAAAGCGUGACGCAGCAACGCCGCGUGGGGGAAGAAGGCCUUCGGGUUGUAAACCCCUUUCAGGAGGGACGAAGGUUCGGCGGUGAAUAGCCGUCCGGACUGACGGUACCUCCACAAGAAGCCCCGGCUAACUACGUG